RNAcentral lists this ribosomal RNA (497 nucleotides) under uncultured bacterium. RNAcentral's name for it is "partial 16S ribosomal RNA". It matches the Rfam family "Bacterial small subunit ribosomal RNA", at positions 28 to 507 of the family's 1533-position model. The record is from RNAcentral.
GACGAACGCUGGCGGCGUGCCUAAUACAUGCAAGUUGAGCGAUGAAGAUUGGUGCUUGCACCAAUUUGAAGAGCAGCGAACGGGUGAGUAACGCGUGGGGAAUCUGCCUUUGAGCGGGGGACAACAUUUGGAAACGAAUGCUAAUACCGCAUAACAACUUUAAACAUAAGUUUUAAGUUUGAAAGAUGCAAUUGCAUCACUCAAAGAUGAUCCCGCGUUGUAUUAGCUAGUUGGUGAGGUAAAGGCUCACCAAGGCGAUGAUACAUAGCCGACCUGAGAGGGUAAUCGGCCACAUUGGGACUGAGACACGGCCCAAACUCCUACGGGAGGCAGCAGUAGGGAAUCUUCGGCAAUGGACGAAAGUCUGACCGAGCAACGCCGCGGGAGUGAAGAAGGUUUUCGGAUCGUAAAACUCUGUUGGUAGAGAAGAACGUUGGUGAGAGUGGAAAGCUCAUCAAGUGACGGUAACUACCCAGAAAGGGACGGCUAACUACGUG